UACGUAGGGGGCAAGCGUUAUCCGGAUUUACUGGGUGUAAAGGGAGCGUAGGCAGGACUGCAAGUCAGAUGUGAAAACUAUGGGCUUAACCCAUAGCCUGCAUUUGAAACUGUAAUUCUUGAGUGAUGGAGAGGCAAGCGGAAUUCCUAGUGUAGCGGUGAAAUGCGUAGAUAUUAGGAGGAACACCAGUGGCGAAGGCGACUUGCUGGACAUUAACUGACGCUGAAGCGCGAAAGCGUGGGGAGCAAAC
This 250-nucleotide ribosomal RNA is filed under the name uncultured prokaryote. RNAcentral describes it as "partial 16S ribosomal RNA". It matches the Rfam family "Bacterial small subunit ribosomal RNA", at positions 524 to 773 of the family's 1533-position model. The record is from RNAcentral.